CUCCUUUAGAGGGGAAGGGGAGCGAGUCAGUGCCAAGGCGAGGAGACUUUCUGCUCUCUAACUCCCGGGGAGCGAGAAGACCCGGGUGGACCAGUUGCAGGUGUACCAAGAGGAAGUUUCCCCAUCUUGGGGUUCCAACUUCCUGAAGGACCACAGUCUGGCCCAAGCAGAGACCCUGAAGCCAGAGGAAAUGGCCCCCGGCACCCUGAGGCCCCCAUCACAGGGGUCAAUAUCAUUGAAGGAUGUGGCUGUGGCCUUCACCCAGGAGGAGUGGUGCCUAUUGGACCAUGUUCAGAAAGAGCUGUACAGGGAGGUCAUGCUGGAGAAUGUGCAGAAUCUACUCUUUGUGGGUAAGAAUUUCCUCAGUUAACUCUGAAUCUGCCAUUAAGGGAAUGUCUUUAUUCCAUGUGAAAGGUGCAGGAUUUUAAGCUUUUGUCAAUGAUUAAAAAAGCAAAAGUACCAAUCUCUGCACAAGAAUCUUCUCCUGCCUGGUUUUUCAUUUAAAAAAAAAAAAAAGCUUUGAAUUCUGUGAUGGGAAGCUGGGAAUUUCCUUUCUUGCUCCUGAAAUUGUCUUUCUUCUAUUUUAGGUAGCUUCAGGUGAAAACUUAAAACAGUGUUACAGAUAUACAUUCUUGAAGCUAAUCACAAAAGUCAUCUUUGACCCUCUAAUUAGACCUGAAAUUUGUGUGCAAAUUUUCUGUUAAUACCAAGGCAGAUUUUCCUUGCCAAUGGCUAUUGAAGGGGACAAUACCUACCAAGGCAGUCCCUUCUCUUUUGGGAUGAGUCUGGUCUUUAGGAAGGAAUUUUUGUUGAGAAGUAUUCUUGGGGGAGGCAGUGCCAAGAAGGUAGCAUAGCAGAAGCAAAAGCUGGAAUCACCUGAGAAUCUCAAAUGAACCUUAAAAGAGUGCUUCUAAAAUUCUAGAAUCACAGAAUGAACAAAGGUCAGAGAAAGGUGAGGCUCCUGAGGAAAACAACUUGAAAGGUUGGCAGAAAGUGUCUAUUUCUGGGGACAAAGAGGAAUUGGAAGUAAAACUGGGCAAAGGGGAGUGCAGAAAAUCCAUCCCUUACAUACUACUCCACAUCCCUUACCUGGGCAGAAGCCAACUUCAAGACCCUGGACCCUUCUUAAGCCUUCAUUAGCACAUCCUAACCCAGGUAGGGAAUGGAGGAGAAACUAUUGGGCUCCAACUAAAAUAAGAAAAGAAGUAGCAAUUACAAUCUCAGACAAAGCUAGAGCAACAAUAGAACUGAUUAAAAGAGAUAAGGUUAGUAAUUACAUCUUGAUUAAAAAAAAAAGUUAGUUUAGACAGUGAGACUAUAUUGGUUCUUAACAUGUGCACCAAGUGGUAUAGCCUCCAGAUUUUAAAAGUAGAAACUAAAGGAGAAUAAGAAGGAAAUUGCUAAUAAAACUGUUCUGGUGAUGGAUCUCAACCUUCCUUUUUCAGUACACUCACCAAAAAAUAAACAAGAAAGGAAUAAAAGAAAUUAUGAAAUUGUAGAAAAGUUACAUUUAAUAGAUAUCUGGAGAAAAUUGAAUGAAAUGCAGAAAUAUAUCUUCUUUUCAAGUUCACAUGGAAAAUAUGCAAAAGACCAUGUACCAGGGUAUAAAAACUUCACAAUGAAAUGCAAAGAAGCAGAAGUAACAACUGCAGCCUUUUCAAAUUAUAAUGGAAUAAAAUCUUGUUAAUAAGAAUUAAUGGAAAGAAAAAAUUUAAAUUCAUUGGAAACUGAAUAAUUGUUCAAAGGGGAUGGGUCAAUGAACAAAUGGUGGAAACAAUGAUAUCAUCAAAGGAAUGACAGUGAGGAGACAACAUAUCAAAAGUUGUGGGAUGUAACCAAAGCAGUGCUUGGGGGGAAAUUUAUAUUCAUGAAUACUCAUAUCAAUAAAAGAGGGAAAAAAUGAAAAAGAAC
Long non-coding RNA from Gracilinanus agilis (Agile Gracile Mouse Opossum), 1911 nucleotides. RefSeq lists it as uncharacterized. The transcript has 3 exons. NCBI's taxonomy places the organism in Eukaryota, Metazoa, Chordata, Mammalia, Didelphimorphia, Didelphidae. The record is from RefSeq and is a predicted model, not a curated record.